GAGAAGAACGAAGCGAAAUGAGAGACGGAAACUGUGGGCAGGUGCGGAAAAGAUGACGCAUGCGGAAAAAAAACGAUGAGCACAGGCGCGCGUCACUGCUGCAUGAUGAUAUUACACAGCUGAAAAACAUGGGACAGACAAACAUUCACUAGAGGUUUUAAGCGUGUGGAUAUGUUGAUGACCGAAAGAGAGAAUGAGACACAAUGUGGCGAAUCAAGAGAGAAACGGUUGGUGAGAGUCAGAUGGAGCAGCAUGAAUGGUGACAAACCAAACUUCUCUCGUGAUCCAGACAGAGACGUGAAGUGUGUGAAUGAUCAGAAUCAACAUGAGUCUCUCCUGAUCCAGACAGAGACGUGAAGUGUGUGAAUGAUCAGAAUCAACAUGAGAACACAAGUCUCUUCUGAACUCUCCAACACCUGACGACGCCAUCACUCAUAACGUGGGAUGCAUUAUUAGGUUUACCAGACCAUAAAUCUUCCUCAGAGAACAAAAAAAGUGCUGGGUGAACUGUGUCAGUAUUAGGCUUUGUGAAAAGAACAGAAAUAAGUGUAAAUAGUGUCACACCAAGUCACUCAUUUCAUGCUGUCAUACGAGUUUCCGUUGUAAAUGUAAUAUUCUGCUCAUUCUAUUUAUGUCAGUUUGCUUUAUAUCAUGAUUUUAAUACAAACAUCUUUGAAAGAUGUUUGUAAUUAGAGCUGUAGAAUUUUGUAGCUGCUAUGUUUUUGUAAUUAUUCUCAGUAUUUGUCAUUUUGUUUUUCAUUCAAGGUUCUUUGUUUUCCUGAAUCUGGUUUUUACAUUUCUUUGAAACAUUUACUGUAACACAACUGGACUAAAAACUGAACUGAACUGAACAUAUUGAGACAAGUGCAUCUUCAUCCUGGAGAUACAGACAUGCCAUUUUGAAUAAAAUCCAUAAAAUGA
Molecule: long non-coding RNA, 921 nt
Organism: Labeo rohita (rohu)
Lineage: Eukaryota; Metazoa; Chordata; Actinopteri; Cypriniformes; Cyprinidae
Exons: 4
Source: RefSeq, a predicted model, not a curated record